This 288-nucleotide ribosomal RNA is filed under the name Heterospilus sp. ASDOR297-10. RNAcentral's name for it is "partial 28S ribosomal RNA". The record is from RNAcentral. Lineage: Eukaryota; Metazoa; Arthropoda; Insecta; Hymenoptera; Braconidae.
GAAACCCAAAAGAUCGAAUGGGGAGAUUCAUCGUCAGCUCAUUUUGUAUAUGUAUGAGUUAUGAUGUGAGUUACUCNUUGUAGUAUUGCUCGCACGUACUUAUGCAUUUAUUUGCAAGGUGUUGUCGGCGUGCACUUCUCCCCUAGUAGGACGUCGCGACCCGUUGGGUAUCGGUCUACGACCCGAGUNGGUAGACUUNUAAUGUUUUNAUAAUAUUAAAGACCCUUGGUGUUUUCUGACCGGCUGCCCGGCGGUAUUCGUACGGUAUUUAGCCGCAUUUANUNUUGC